Molecule: ribosomal RNA, 236 nt
Filed under: uncultured Glomus
Lineage: Eukaryota; Fungi; Glomeromycota; Glomeromycetes; Glomerales; Glomeraceae
Description: partial 18S ribosomal RNA
Rfam family: Eukaryotic small subunit ribosomal RNA (bases 46-236)
Source: RNAcentral
AGAUCAAAUUGUUGGUCGUGCCUCGGUACGUACUGGCAUUAUUGAUUUCUCCUUUCUGAAGAACCUUGAUGUCAUUAAUUUGGUGUCUUGGGGAAUCAGGACUGUUACUUUGAAAAAUUAGAGUGUUUAAAGCAGGCUCGCGCUUGAAUACAUUAGCAUGGAAUAAUGAAAUAGGACGCUUGAUUCUAUUUUGUUGGUUUCUAGGAUCGACGUAAUGAUUAAUAGGGAUAGUUGGG